GACGAACUGUUCUAACGUUAUUCGGAAUCACUGGGCUUAAAGGGCGCGUAGGCGGCUUGUUAAGUCUGGAGUGGAAGUCCUCUUUUCAAGGGAGGAAUUGCUUUGGAAACUGGCGGGCUUGAGUGCAGGAGAGGUUAUCGGAAUUCCCGGUGUAGCGGUGAAAUGCGUAGAGAUCGGGAGGAACACCAGUGGCGAAGGCGGGUAACUGGACUGCAACUGACGCUGAGGCGCGAAAGUGUGGGGAGCAAACAGGAUUAGAUACCCGGGUAGUCCCUGAGCGGG
Molecule: ribosomal RNA, 282 nt
Filed under: uncultured prokaryote
Description: partial 16S ribosomal RNA
Rfam family: Bacterial small subunit ribosomal RNA
Source: RNAcentral